Molecule: transfer RNA, 75 nt
Filed under: Bradyrhizobium elkanii
Lineage: Bacteria; Pseudomonadati; Pseudomonadota; Alphaproteobacteria; Hyphomicrobiales; Nitrobacteraceae
Description: tRNA-Phe
Rfam family: tRNA
About the family: Transfer RNA (tRNA) molecules are approximately 80 nucleotides in length. Their secondary structure includes four short double-helical elements and three loops (D, anti-codon, and T loops). Further hydrogen bonds mediate the characteristic L-shaped molecular structure. tRNAs have two regions of fundamental functional importance: the anti-codon, which is responsible for specific mRNA codon recognition, and the 3' end, to which the tRNAs corresponding amino acid is attached (by aminoacyl-tRNA synthetases). tRNAs cope with the degeneracy of the genetic code in two manners: having more than one tRNA (with a specific anti-codon) for a particular amino acid; and 'wobble' base-pairing, i.e. permitting non-standard base-pairing at the 3rd anti-codon position.
Source: RNAcentral
GCCCGGGUAGCUCAGCGGUAGAGCGGCACGUUGAAGGCGUGCGCGUCAGUGGUUCGAUUCCAUUUCCGGGCACCA